RNAcentral lists this ribosomal RNA (524 nucleotides) under uncultured bacterium. RNAcentral's name for it is "partial 16S ribosomal RNA". It matches the Rfam family "Bacterial small subunit ribosomal RNA", at positions 28 to 523 of the family's 1533-position model. The record is from RNAcentral.
GACGAACGCUGGCGGCGUGCUUAACACAUGCAAGUCGAACGAGACGAUUGGAAGCUUGCUUUUAAAAGUCGAGUGGCAAACGGGUGAGUAACGCGUAGACAACCUGCCUUUGAGAUGGGGACAACAGUUCGAAAGGACUGCUAAUACCGAAUGUUGUAUAUUUUCCACAUGGAAGAUAUAUUAAAGAUGGCCUCUAUUUAUAAGCUAUCGCUCAAAGAUGGGUCUGCGUCUGAUUAGCUGGUUGGUGGGGUAACGGCCUACCAAGGCGACGAUCAGUAGCGGGUCUGGGAGGAUGAAGGGGCACAUUGGGACUGAGACACGGCCCAGACUCCUACGGGAGGCGGAAGUGGGAAAUCUUCCACAAUGGACGAAAGCCGGAUGGGGGAACGCCGCGUGAGUGAAGAGGGUUUUCGGCUCGUAAAGCUCUGUUGUCGGGGACGAAUGUGCAGUAUUGGAAUAAAGUACUGUAAUGACGGUACCUGACGGGGAAGCCACGGCUAACUACGUGCCAGCCGCCGCCGUAA